This 240-nucleotide unclassified non-coding RNA is filed under the name soil metagenome. RNAcentral's name for it is "partial contains 5.8S ribosomal RNA, internal transcribed spacer 2, and large subunit ribosomal RNA". The record is from RNAcentral.
AACAAGGCGUACCUGCGGACCUGCGGAGGGAUCAUUAUCGAGUGUAACCUACCCCGCAAAAAAGGGUGGUACCUCCCGUCCUUUGCAGGCCCCCCUUUUGAUGGGGGGGCUUUUUAAGACUUUCUGCUUCGGCGGGGUUACUCCCGCCGGAACACCCUCAAAAAAACUCUUGAUCAAAAACCGUUCAGUCCGAGAAUUUUUGAAAAUUAAAAAAAAACUUUCAACAAUGGAUCUCAGAUC